GAUCCUGGCUCAGAUUGAACGCUGGCGGAAUGCUUUACACAUGCAAGUCGAACGGUAGAGGGGGCAACCCCUCGAGAGUGGCGAACGGGUGAGUAAUAUAUCGGAACGUGCCCAGUCGUGGGGGAUAACGCAGCGAAAGCUGUGCUAAUACCGCAUACGAUCCAAGGAUGAAAGCGGGGGACUCGCAAGAGCCUCGCGCGAUUGGAGCGGCCGAUAUCAGAUUAGGUAGUUGGUGGGGUAAAGGCUCACCAAGCCAACGAUCUGUAGCUGGUCUGAGAGGACGACCAGCCACACUGGAACUGAGACACGGUCCAGACUCCUACGGGAGGCAGCAGUGGGGAAUUUUGGACAAUGGGCGCAAGUCUGAUCCAGCCAUUCCGCGUGCAGGAUGAAGGCCCUCGGGUUGUAAACUGCUUUUGUACGGAACGAAAAGGUUUCCAUUAAUACUGGGAGCUCAUGACGGUACCGUAAGAAUAAGCACCGGCUAACUACGUG
RNAcentral lists this ribosomal RNA (495 nucleotides) under uncultured bacterium. RNAcentral describes it as "bacterial SSU rRNA". It matches the Rfam family "Bacterial small subunit ribosomal RNA", at positions 15 to 507 of the family's 1533-position model. The record is from RNAcentral.